UAACUGAAAUGAAAACAGAGAAUCGACAAAGCAUUAUGAGGAUGAUAAAUGCAGGAAGCGGCUUCUAGAACACUCCAUAAAGAUUUGCAGAUCCCGCAUAUAUCAAAGGGGAGUCUGUAAGUGCACCAAAGUUUGAUAAAUGUCGGAUACUGCUCAAGUUUCAACAUUGAAGGACUGAUCUUGUAAUUAUGUGAAAGUGUCACAAGUUUGGACAAGGGUUCUUAU
This 225-nucleotide long non-coding RNA is filed under the name Helianthus annuus (common sunflower). Its description in RNAcentral is "sRNA HanXRQr2_Chr03g0111811". The record is from RNAcentral. Lineage: Eukaryota; Viridiplantae; Streptophyta; Magnoliopsida; Asterales; Asteraceae.